UCCAGGCAAAUCCGGAUAAUCAAGGCUGAGGUGUGAUGACGAGGCACUACGGUGCUGAAGUAACAAAUGCCCUGCUUCCAGGAAAAGCCUCUAAGCAUCAGGUAACAUUAAAUCGUACCCCAAACCGACACAGGUGGUCAGGUAGAGAAUACCAAGGCGCUUGAGAGAACUCGGGUGAAGGAACUAGGCAAAAUGGUGCCGUAACUUCGGGAGAAGGCACGCUGGUGUGUAGGUGAAGUCCCUGCGGAUGGAGCUGAGACCAGUCGAAGAUACCAGCUGGCUGCAACUGUUUAUUAAAAACACAGCACUGUGCAAACACGAAAGUGGACGUAUACGGUGUGACGCCUGCCCGGUGCCGGAAGGUUAAUUGAUGGGGUUAUCCGUAAGGAGAAGCUCUUGAUCGAAGCCCCGGUAAACGGCGGCCGUAACUAUAACGGUCCUAAGGUAGCGAAAUUCCUUGUCGGGUAAGUUCCGACCUGCACGAAUGGCGUAAUGAUGGCCAGGCUGUCUCCACCCGAGACUCAGUGAAAUUGAACUCGCUGUGAAGAUGCAGUGUACCCGCGGCAAGACGGAAAGACCCCGUGAACCUUUACUAUAGCUUGACACUGAACAUUGAGCCUUGAUGUGUAGGAUAGGUGGGAGGCUUUGAAGCGUGGACGCCAGUCUGCGUGGAGCCAACCUUGAAAUACCACCCUUUAAUGUUUGAUGUUCUAACGUUGGCCCCUGACCGGGGUUGCGGACAGUGUCUGGUGGGUAGUUUGACUGGGGCGGUCUCCUCCCAAAGCGUAACGGAGGAGCACGAAGGUUAGCUAAUCCUGGUCGGACAUCAGGAGGUUAGUGCAAUGGCAUAAGCUAGCUUGACUGCGAGCGUGACGGCGCGAGCAGGUGCGAAAGCAGGUCAUAGUGAUCCGGUGGUUCUGAAUGGAAGGGCCAUCGCUCAACGGAUAAAAGGUACUCCGGGGAUAACAGGCUGAUACCGCCCAAGAGUUCAUAUCGACGGCGGUGUUUGGCACCUCGAUGUCGGCUCAUCACAUCCUGGGGCUGAAGUAGGUCCCAAGGGUAUGGCUGUUCGCCAUUUAAAGUGGUACGCGAGCUGGGUUUAGAACGUCGUGAGACAGUUCGGUCCCUAUCUGCCGUGGGCGCUGGAGAAUUGAGGGGGGCUGCUCCUAGUACGAGAGGACCGGAGUGGACGCAUCACUGGUGUUCGGGUUGUCAUGCCAAUGGCACUGCCCGGUAGCUAAAUGCGGAAGAGAUAAGUGCUGAAAGCAUCUAAGCACGAAACUUGCCCCGAGAUGAGUUCUCCCUGAGACUUUAAGUCUCCUGAAGGAACGUUGAAGACGACGACGUUGAUAGGCCGGGUGUGUAAGCGCAGCGAUGCGUUGAGCUAACCGGUACUAAUGAACCGUGAGGCUUAACCUU
RNAcentral lists this ribosomal RNA (1419 nucleotides) under Klebsiella pneumoniae. Its description in RNAcentral is "bacterial LSU rRNA". It matches the Rfam family "Bacterial large subunit ribosomal RNA", at positions 1531 to 2925 of the family's 2925-position model. Lineage: Bacteria; Pseudomonadati; Pseudomonadota; Gammaproteobacteria; Enterobacterales; Enterobacteriaceae. The record is from RNAcentral.